AACGCGAAGAACCUUACCUGGGCUCGAACGGCUUCCUAACGCCGGUGGAAACACCGGUAUCCCGCAAGGGAGUGGAGUCGAGGUGCUGCAUGGCUGUCGUCAGCUCGUGUCGUGAGAUGUUGGGUUAAGUCCCGCAACGAGCGCAACCCUUGUCCUGUGUUGCCAUCAUUCAGUUGGGAACUCGCAGGAGACCGCCAGCGAUAAGCUGGAGGAAGGUGGGGAUGACGUCAAGUCCUCAUGGCCUUUAUGUCCAGGGCUACACACGUGCUACAAUGGACGGUACAAUACGUCGCUAACCCGCGAGGGGGAGCCAAUCGCUAAAAACCGUUCUCAGUUCGGAUUGCAGGCUGCAACUCGCCUGCAUGAAGCUGGAAUCGCUAGUAAUGGCAGAUCAGCACGCUGCCGUGAAUACGUUCCCGGGCCUUGUA
This 428-nucleotide ribosomal RNA is filed under the name uncultured Acidobacterium sp. Its description in RNAcentral is "bacterial SSU rRNA". It matches the Rfam family "Bacterial small subunit ribosomal RNA", at positions 958 to 1385 of the family's 1533-position model. Lineage: Bacteria; Pseudomonadati; Acidobacteriota; Terriglobia; Terriglobales; Acidobacteriaceae. The record is from RNAcentral.